Molecule: ribosomal RNA, 464 nt
Filed under: uncultured bacterium
Lineage: Bacteria
Description: partial 16S ribosomal RNA
Rfam family: Bacterial small subunit ribosomal RNA
Source: RNAcentral
CUACGGGCGGCAGCAGUGGGGAAUAUUGCACAAUGGGCGCAAGCCUGAUGCAGCCAUGCCGCGUGCAUGAAGAAGGCCUUCGGGUUGUAAAGUACUUUCAGCGGGGAGGAAGGGAGUAAAGUUAAUACCUUUGCUCAUUGACGUUACCCGCAGAAGAAGCACCGGCUAGCUCCGUGCCAGCAGCCGCGGUAAUACGGAGGGUGCAAGCGUUAAUCGGAAUUACUGGGCGUAAAGCGCACGCAGGCGGUUUGUUAAGUCAGAUGUGAAAUCCCCGGGCUCAACCUGGGAACUGCAUCGGAUACUGGCAAGCUUGAGUCUCGUAGAGGGGGGUAGAAUUCCAGGUGUAGCGGUGAAAUGCGUAGAGAUCUGGAGGAAUACCGGUGGCGAAGGCGGCCCCCUGGACGAAGACUGACGCUCAGGUGCGAAAGCGUGGGGAGCAAACAGGAUUAGAUACCCCAGUAGUC